CUUUCUUUCUGCAUAAUAUCUUGAGUUUGUCCAGGGCUGUUGAAAUUGAAAAAGCUUUGCUGCUGGUGAUUGCUUUGUUCCUGAUGGACUUGAGACUCGAUAGUUUGAGAAAGAGUAAUUGCAACUUCGCCAGCAGGUUCUGUUGUUUGAAAACUAGAUCUGUUCUUGUCAUUUUCAUUAUUUUUCUUUAAGAAGUCAUGUGUUGAUGAUUUGGUUUUGAAAGGAUCAAAGCAGUCAUGGGACACGUUGAUGGAUGCUUCUGAAGAGCCUUGAGUAACACUUGAUUUUUGCAAGCUUUCUAUUGGAUUGUCAUGCUCCAUACAUAAAGGUUGAUCAUAUGCAUCUCUGAAGUUCUCAUUUGAUUUGCUUUUAUGAUUGUUAUCUUCAUAAAACUUGGUUGAACUAACCAUUUCGAGGAGUUUACUGAAAGAAGUGUUACUAUCAAAAUGAUUGUACUUUGCUGUGUUGGACAGAACUUCUACUUCUGAGUUGCUAUCAGAGCAUGAUCCUAUUUUCUCAGGAUUUUGAUCAUUUGAAAAAUCUCCAGAAAUUUGAGAUGAAAUGACAGAGCCUUGGGAUGAAACUAUGUCAAUUAACUCUUUCCUAUCACCAUCAUAACAUG
Molecule: long non-coding RNA, 622 nt
Filed under: Phaseolus vulgaris (common bean)
Lineage: Eukaryota; Viridiplantae; Streptophyta; Magnoliopsida; Fabales; Fabaceae
Description: long non-coding RNA (PVUL_LNC002409)
Source: RNAcentral